AUUGAACUUGAUUCUCAAAUUCGAAAGGGAAAACAAUUUCUUUGAAACACAAGGUUGUUCUGAAUACGGUGAACUUUCAUUCACUGUAAAUUAAAUACAAACUAAAUGAGUUGAAACGCAGUUAAUCUCGAAAUUAGUUCGAAAUUUAAUGCAAUCAACUGCUUGAACGGAAUCAUCUUCAGAAUGGAAAAUGGCGACUUAAAUAUUGUUAAGCCCUUAAAAAAAUGGUGUUGACAACUUGCUUAUAGAUUUAGCAUGUUUUUACGGUACUAAAGAACCUUUACGUCCACAACACGUUGACAGAUGUCUUGCUGUGAAACAAGAAAAAGUGAGAGUCCCCCAUUGGCCAUGUCAAGAAACAGUGGCUGCUGCAGAAGUCAAUGAUAAAUCAAUUAGGAAUUGGAUAAAUGAACAAUUGUAAUUUAUAGAGUCAAUCAAUUUUAUAUAUUUUAUUUGUUGUACCAAGAACAUGUUGUAUAUAUUUAUGUAUUGAAUGAAAAGAAAAUACCCAACAUUUUACUUCUCAA
This is a long non-coding RNA of Xenia sp. Carnegie-2017, 527 nucleotides long. RefSeq lists it as uncharacterized. NCBI's taxonomy places the organism in Eukaryota, Metazoa, Cnidaria, Anthozoa, Malacalcyonacea, Xeniidae. The record is from RefSeq and is a predicted model, not a curated record. The transcript has 2 exons.